AAGAAGGAGGUAGAGGAGUGGUAGAAGGAGAGAUGAAUGAGGAGAAGGAGGUACAGUAGAGGAGUGGUAGAGGGAGAGAUGAAUGAGGAGGAGGUACAGUAGAGGAGUGGUAGAGGGAGAGAUGAGUGAGGAGAAGGAGGUACAGAAGAGGAGUGGUAGAGGGAGAGAUGAACGAGGAGAAGGAGGUAGAAGAGUGGUAGAGGGAGAGAUGAAUGAGGAGAAGGAGGUAGAAGAGUGGUAGAGGGAGAGAUGAAUGAGGAGAAGGAGGUACUGAAUGAGGAGAAGGAGGUACAGUAGAGGAGUUGUAGAAGGAGAGAUGAAUGAGGAGAAGGAGGUAGAGGAGUGGUAGAAGGAGAGAGAAAUGAGGAGAAGGAGGUACAGUAGAGGAGUGGUAGAGGGAGCGAUGAAUGAGGAGAAGGAGUUACAGUAGAG
RNAcentral lists this long non-coding RNA (432 nucleotides) under Salmo salar (Atlantic salmon). Its description in RNAcentral is "lncRNA (ENSSSAG00000114212.1)". Lineage: Eukaryota; Metazoa; Chordata; Actinopteri; Salmoniformes; Salmonidae. The record is from RNAcentral.